This 114-nucleotide ribosomal RNA is filed under the name Lepisosteus oculatus (spotted gar). Lineage: Eukaryota; Metazoa; Chordata; Actinopteri; Semionotiformes; Lepisosteidae. The record is from RNAcentral.
AAUAGCAACAUUACCACCCUCUAAGCUGAACUCAUCAGAUCUCAGAAGCUAAACCAGAUUGGGGCAGACCAAUACUGGGAUAGAAGACUUCAAGGGAAAACCAGGUUGCUAUUG